RNAcentral lists this small nucleolar RNA (173 nucleotides) under Xylariales sp. No.14919. The record is from RNAcentral. Lineage: Eukaryota; Fungi; Ascomycota; Sordariomycetes; Xylariales.
UAGUCUUCUACCAUGCUCGAUUAGGUUUGCUCCACCACCUGAUCUUGAGCCGGAUGCCCUUUUCAUUUCUGAUAAGUGUGCACAAGACAAGAGCAACCACAGCGAUCUUUGAGUACGGGACCUAGUUGGCCAUUUGGCGUCGAGGUUUUCGUAAUUUAUCGCAUGUCACAUCU